ACCAGCAUACAUUGUGAAUCUCUUAAAAGAGGGAAUAUGCAGUAUUUCUCAAACUAAUUUGAUUGGGGGGUCCUUUUUUUCUUGAGGAGCAUUUCAUCAGAUUAAUGUUUCACAGAGCACACCCAGGAAGAAGUUUCACUAUACUGGCAUCUCUCUCCUUUUUAAAAAAAUAACAACUCAAAGUUAGAUAGCCCUUACUGACUUAUUCCUAAAUUCCUGACUUUUGAGGUAGGUAAGAGUACACACUUUUCCUACUCUGGAACUGCAAAGGCAGGCAGUGUUAUGUUGUGGUCUUCCUAAGGCAGUCUUACAGGCACUGUCAGCGAUUCUCUGCUAUUAAUAAUUCCCAUUGAUUUGAUACCCUCACAUUUCCCUAUAUUGAUCUCCCAUGUCUCCCUGCAGCAGAUGUUCCUAGAAUGCUCCUUCCCCUUGACAGAGAGGUAGACAAGGGCAAGUCAACAGGGACCCCUCUGAGCCCAGAGUGUUCUCUUGGUGACCUGGUCUGAGGGUCAGUGUGGCUGAAUUGACAAAUAGUAGCUGUUGACUCCCUGGUUUGGGGUUGGUUUUCUAUAGGAGAAGCAACUGUUGGAGUCAGCUGCCUGAGGAAUAUACUUCUCUAGGCUGGGGUGGGGAAAUGAGCUUGAAGACAAGGAACUGGCUGAGUCUUAAUUUGGGUAAGAAGGCUCGGUGGCGCUCACUUGGACUGCAGUUUUAUACCCCAUUUUCCAUGUCUAUUCUCCUCCUUCCCCCGCCCCAACCUGUCCAUCACCACUCAGCUCUCUUCCUCCUUCAUCCUUCUUUUGGGUUCUCUUUCCCUCCCCGCUGUUCUUCUAAGAAGACUGGCUCUCCUUCCUCCUCCCCCAUCCCAAUCUCUACUUCUCUUCACAUCCCCUCUGCACCCCCAGCCUGGCAGCCUGCCCUGUAGGAAUGUUAAUUAGCAUCCACGAUUUAAUUAAUUCAGUAGCUAAUUAAUGAUUGGGGACUGGGGGCUGGGGAGCUGGGGUGCAGGGGGUUGGGGGCUGGAGGUGACAGGGAGAAAUAGCAGAGGUUGCAGAAGGCAUCGCAGAUGGCUGUGCGGUGGCUGGCACAGUGCCCACCGCCAUGGAUGCAAACACACUUGCGCGCACGCACACGUAUACACACACACACAAAAAGGAAAGGGUGAUCGAGGAAUCAAAAGCAGGCAGGGAAGGGCACAGGGGCCCUGGGAACUGGGGCUGUGCGGCUGGGGGUGGGGAAGGCUCUAGAUCUAUUUGAAUCUGCUCCGGAAGUAGAAGAGGAGAAAAAAAAGAAACAACCACAGGCGCAGAGAGAAGCGAGCUCUCCCGAUACCCCACCUCACCCCACCCCCACCCCACCCCAGCCACCCCUCCUCCCUGGCAUGGGAUUCAUGGGCACCAGCUGAGAACGGGGUCCCCUCCCUCUGCCUGCCAUAAAUAUUGGUACUGAGGACCCAGACUCAGAAGGAUAGGAUAUUCCCAAAGAAAAGAGUUUUUCUUUUAAGUUGCUUUAAAAAAUAUAUAUGUGUGUGUGUGUGUGUGUAUAUAUAUAUGCAUAUAUAUGUAUAUAUGCAUAUAUAUAUAUAUAUUUUAAAUUGCACCCGUUCUGGUGUGAGGGCGAAGGCGAGUGAAAGAAGGUGACUGAGCCAGGAGGAGAGCACAGAUGGCUUGGUGGUGGUAUGGUGUGCUCCAUCGGCUGCCAACCUAGGGCCAUCGUCUGCCUCCAUCACCCCUCCGCCCGCCCGCCUACCCACCCAAUCCCAAACGGGUGCUGGAUCAGGUGCUGAAUCCGGCUGCCUCCUCGGGUCCUCCUUCCCCUUCCCUCUUAGGCAUGGGGAGUGGAGCAACAGACGGAGAGUGGCAUGAAGACACAAAGGAGGAAGCACACCAUUGCCAAGACCCCAAGGAAGAAGGAUGGAAAGCGCUGGCAGUCCUGCCUGGCCCCCAGCCAGUUCCCUGCUGAAGAUGGCCAGAUCCCCUUGUCUGGUCUGUAUAUGCCACUUUUGCUGGGGUGGAAGGAGGGAAGGGCUGGCUUGCUGAGCUGGGCUCUAGAAUGGGAAGGGUACCUUUCUGCAGAUCCCAUUUGGACUCUCCACUUGAACAAGUGAGGUGUCUGAUUUUCUUCUUCGGUACCUUCCUCUCCUCCCCCUCCCUUCGCCUCACCCCGCUUUCAUCUCUCAUCACCACCUGGGUCCUACUGCUUGGCACCCAACCAACUGGAUGCUGCCACGUUUGGCAGUGCUGCACUGGCACGUGAACAGUGUCUCAGAUCCUGGCACUGCAGCAAACCCAAAGCCACCAAACAUGCUCAUGAUGCCACUUGGCAGCAGUCAGAGAGAGGGGGCUGUGCACAUAGUGGUGGCCAGGCAUUGGGUGGAGCUCUGUGCAGGGAACUGGCAUGAGAGGAUGCCCUUAACAACUGGGCUGAGUCAGCACUCCCUGGUCAAUCUCAGCUCUGCCUUCCUCCCAACUAGAUAUCCACCUCCUUCCUACCCUUAUUGCCCCCACGAAAGGGAUUUAGAUGGUACCAUAUUGAGUGUUUGAGCACCAUGCGAAAGGAAACAAGCACAGAGGGACAGGCUAGAGCACAGGCUGUAGACACACCCAAGGCUCCAGGCUAGUGGACCAUACAUAUCCUUGGACAACAAGAACAACAACAACAACAACAAAACCCUAGGAGAGCAAAAGGAGGUGGAGAGAGGGACACCAGCUGUGUUGUUACCAGGAUGGCACAAGAAGAGAUUGGAAGGGAAGUAGGAAGGAGUGACCCUCAGACCUUGCUCUUGGGUGAUGGGGUGGUUUGUACUUAUGCAUAUUUCAUUCUGCCUUGUGCCUUGUGAUUUGCUGAGCUGUGGUUGAGAUGAACUGGUUCUUUCUCCCUUGUUAAAAGGUCCAUAUUCAAUAAUAGUCCUAGAAAGAUGGAAAGGUGCUCUAGGCCUAGAGAGGUAGACAGGUGUUAGGAAGACAAAGGGACUUGUCCUUCCAGAAAGACUAUGCAAGGCACCCAGUUAGAGUUGGAUAGAUUUCCAUAUCUUUGAAAUCCAUCCCAAGAAGGGAGAUUGAGGAUAAGCAAUGAUCCCUGGUAGAGGGGAAGGCCCCUAGGAGGAGAAUCCCCAGCAUCUGUGGUGAUACAGACUAGCCCUCAGAAAACUAGACCUUGAGCCCCCAUCUGAAAGAAUUUCUAGUAGGUUUGGCUUUCCCAGUGACUGGGCAGAUCUUUAGAAGAUCUGGAAGAUUUGGCUGUGGGUGAUGUGGAGGGGAGGCUGGGUGGCUCUGGGAGAUAGGACCUGCCCAGAGGUAGGAGUAAAGUCCAUGCUGGGCUGAGCUGCUCAGGGCUGGGGAAGUUCUGAUUUCAGCAUCUCUGGAAGUGUAUGGCUACUUCAGAAGAAGCAAGGUGUUUUCCACAGCAGAGGAGAAAGCAGGGAGGCACUCAGCCAAAGUGGUGAGUGGACAAUGUUUCUAUCUUUUCUCCUGUUCAAGAACAGCCAACGUGAGCAGAAGACCAUGGUCAGUUUCCAGUAUGUUGGGGGUGGGAGUCGGGGUGAUGUCAGAGUAAUGAAGUCAACAAAUCUGAGGUUAUGAUAAGCCCUGGUGUGGUAGCCCCUGGGGUAGCAGGGUUGGUCCCUGGGUGCUGAAGAGAUGGGGGCAGGUCACAGAUAUGGUGCUAAGCUCUCUAGGUCAGUGGUUCUCAAACUUCAGAGGGCAUAGAAUCAUUUCAGGAGUUUCUGGUUCAGUUGGUCUUAGGUGUGGUCCAGGAAUAUGCAUUUUACAUAAGCACUCAUGUUCCAAGUGGACACUUGAAACGUUGAAAAACACUGUUCUGAGAGAUGGCAGUCACCUUUAGGAUGGUCGAUCCAAUCAGGGUUUCCCUUGCCUUUUGCAUCUGUCUUCCCCAGACUUACUCAUGUCUUUAUGCUGACAUGUUUGGGAUAUGUUUGUUGUGGGGUGUGUGUAUGCGUUUUGGGUGGGAGCAGUGGGAGGAAAAGGAGAGAUUGUGAGGUUGAAUCCAGCGAAUGUAACUUGUUAGAACAAUGAUCCUCACUGGCAGUAGUUACCACAGAAGAAUCCUUUAGGGAACACUUUGAAAAUUCACUCUUUCUUCACCCACAGAUUCUGAAGGCUGGCUGCCCGUGGGUUUCUGAAACCUCAUCAUUGAGAAUCACUAGGUUAGGAACAUUGUCAAGAGAUUAUUCUCUGUGAUCAAGUCAAAAUUGUGUAGAUUUUGUGGCUAGGUACAAGAUGGGUCCUGGAGGCAGGCCUGGGUCCCGGGUAAUGGAAGUAGGGGUCCACAGAGUACAACUCAGCCUACUGCUGAUACUCAGCAAAUGGCAGAAGAUGCUGUGGUUUGAGCACUUGGUGGGGACAUCUAGAAAUGAGCACAGCAUGGGUCAUUCUUCACAUCCAAUUGAGAAGACUUAGUGCAGGGUUUGGUAUCAGGGAGGACUUGUAGAUAUGGGGCAGUGCUGAGCCCCUGCUGAUUACUGGUUGUGGUGUCUUAGCCAUUGUUUGUGUAAGAAUAUGUGUGCAGUUGGGUGGGAUUAGGAGUCAACCCCGGGUGCUGCAUCACCUUUCCCCCUCUUCUUGGACAGGUUCAGCUUGUUCUGGUCUACCUAUACUCAACCUGCUUCCCCAUUAGCUUCUGGCCAGACUUCUUUCCAUGGCUGCGGAAUUGCAAGAAAUACCAUACUUAGACUACUGCCAGAGAAUAAUGACAUUUACCCCUUGUCUGUGCUUUGUGUGAGGGCUGUCUGGGUUCCAUAUAUGAAGGAGCGUCACUGGGUGGUCACGCAAUUGAAUCACGCAAUUUUAUCUUCUUCCCAUAACAUAUAGUUUCUCUCAAGAGGAAUUACCUUCAUGAUUACUUCCCAUCUUUCCCCAAACUUGAUGGGCCAUGGUCAAGAUCUUCUGCAAAUGUCCUCUCUCAAAUUUGCCUUCAUCUGAUCUUUUUAUAAUGUAUCUGAGCUAUAAUCCUGUAGACCCUGAGGCUGGGUCUACAGACUUGCUGUAGCAAGAGCUUUCUCAGUAUAAAGGCAUUUCUUCCCAACUCAGUCUCCUAGAAAUGACGCUUUCAUGGCUUAUAAGUUUCUGACUGGUUGCUUCUGAGAGAAAUUGUCCCCCAAUACCUGGCCAUUCGCAGAAGUUUACCCUGUUUUUCAUGGUGACAUCAUAUGAGUUUUCCCAAAAGUUUCCUCCUAAUUUGCCUCCUACAUAUCUCUUCCCUGAUGUCCAGAAUAAUUUACGGUCCUCUCCCCAUCGGGUGUGUGUGUGUUUGUUUGUUUGUUUUUUGUGACUGCGAGGAGGGGAGUGGACCCCUCAACCAUGUGCGUGCCCCCACUGCUGCCAUCCCCCUGUCCCCUCUUGACUGCCAGCAACAGCUUGGUAUGGGCCCAAUGCCCAUCCAUUUUCAGGGCUAGUUGAUUUGGCAGGUGAGUUGUUACACACUCCUUAGCAGAUCCUCUCCCCAUAUGUUAAUAUUCAACAUUUGGUCACUCUUCCUCUUACCGGUUACUUUUUCCUCUCACUUUCUCUGUUUAUAAGCUUUUUCUACCUACUUUUGUGUGAGAAAAAUUAGCGUGUGUUGGAGGGUAUUUCUGCUUAUGGGAGUAUAGGUCAUGGGUCUUGGGAUAUGUCCCUUGUACUUAUACAUAUGCCCAUGGGGCCCCAUCCUUGCUGGCACUGGUGUGUUUCCCUGCAGCCCCCUCUGCUGGGGUCUGCUGCUGUUUCUGAGGGUGUGUUUGUUUGUUUCACUGGUGUAGUUAUAUAUAUGGAGCUCUAUAUUUCAGAUUUACAUAUCUUUCCAGGGAUGAAUGACUGUCUUAAAACAGAUCACAGUGGUGGAGAUUUGGAGAAUCAGUGGUCUGGUCUAUAAGCCCUGAGAGUGGUUAAGAAACAAAUACAAAGAAUUAAGCAGAUGGGUGCUAUUAUGCCUGGAAUAAAAGGCUUGCUUGGUUCUUAAGCCUACUUCUGUAAGUAUACUCCAGGGCUGGAAGGGUGGGAUAGAAACAGAUUUCUUUAUGUGGUUCCUGUUGCAAACUCUGUCUUGUUUGGCCAUUAAGGCUUCAGAUUUUCUUAUAUUCUUCUAGCAAUCUUUUUGUUCCUAGUUGAGGAUUGGACACCUUACACCAUCCUCACACAGACUCUGGUUUAGAGCAAAAAUAGCCAAGAUCACUUUCACCACCGCCUCUUGGUCUGACCCUGGUCGUUAAGUAGGGCAGAGCUCAAUUUGGGUGCCUCUUUAAGGACGAGUGUAUGUUAGAAGCCAAGCCCUAGGGUUAGGGGUGGGGGAGGUACUGUAAAAUAGGUGUUAUUGUGCCAAAUGCUUGAGUUACGGCUGUUACUCCACAGGAGAAAUACCAUGAUUUAAUUCUGGUGACUUGGCAUUAGCCUCUAGGAUUCUGCAAAGGAUUGUGCUGACUCAGCCUUCUGUCCACCAGAAUGCCCACUGUGCAUUGCUCUCUGGAGCAGGACUGCUGCUGCUAAGGACUUCUGGUGUGAGAAAGGGACUGGGAAGGAAUGCUUCCAGCCACUGGGAACAUGGAAUGGUGCCCCCUCAGGAAGCAUGUUAAUUGACCUAAGUCAGCAGAGUCAGCCCGGCUCUUUUGCCCCCAAAUUCCAGGGUUCCAGGUAAGUACAGUUGCUUAGAGUCAGCUCAUAUCUACUGUUGGGACCGCACGUGGUAUUGCCAGGCCAGGGUGUUAGGUGUAAAAGAACAUGUUGCGUGACAAGAGGAGGGGGGAUUUCUGGUUACAUCAACUCUCGGUGAAAACACUCAUAGUUCAAACUGAAGUUGGCUGAAAUCCUUAAGAUACAGCACACCACACUUCUAAUCAUUCCAUGCCAGGUGUUUGUCGAUGCUUUCUUUAAAACGUUUCCUUUGUCUUGUUUUUGUUCUAAAUUGUUUUUGGUUUCUAACUUUUAUACACAAGUCACAUUCCCAGAAAGCACAAGUGAAGAAUCUUCUUUCCUCAGAUACAUGCUGCUAAGAAAAUAGUUUUAUAUAUAGAAUUUCAACAGGAGAGAGAAAAGGACAGGGAGAGAGGGGUACAAGAGAGGCGGGGAAAGAAGGUGGCAGUGAGCACAAGACCCGGUGGCCAGUUUCUCUCCUGUUGCCUAGAUCUGUGACUGGCAUUUUUGGUAUCAGAAAUUGGGGUGGAAUUACAAAACUAACUCCGCCUAAUUUGCUGUUAGUUAGAAAACUAACUCCACCCCACCCCUAAUUUGUUAGAGUUGGAGUUAUUCAGAAGUGAAUGGGACAGGAAGUGAGACUCAUGGAAUAUAUGGGGGCUACUGACUGAGCUGAAUUUUCUGUCCCCUCCCAUUCUGUCUGCAUGUAAGACACUGCUUCAGUAUUAACAUGUUCACAGAGUGAUGUGACUGAUAGAGCAGAAAACCUAAAUCCCAGGGCUGGCUGAAUUUGUAUGAGAAUAUGAAAUGGAUAAUGAUAGAGCAACAGCCUGGAGGGGAGAGAGGAUGGAAGGAGAACACCUUGAAAGAGAAGUGGUCUUAGGGACAAGAGUAGUAGGAAAAACUACCUGGAGGACGAGGAAUUUUGCAGACUUUUCUUUGCUAAAAGAAAACAUGGACUUCUCUACCCCACACUACUUUAGCUGGGCUUUAGGGUUGCCAGAAUUUUCACCUGAUGGCUACAGAAACCAUUUGCCUAGGGGUACAGAACAUUCUUCUAGGUUCUGUUGGUUCCCUUGGUGAUAACACCCUAUCAAAGAUUGACCUGUGCUUCAGUCAUCUCCUUGCCCACCCCAUCCCCUCAAUUCGUGUCAGCUCUAGAACCCCAUGAGUCUCAUGGACGGGUCCCGACUCCCUUGGGGAUGCCUCCAGCAGCUGCUGCUUAACGGAGAAGCUGGGCUGGGCUGGACUGGAGGGAGCAGGAGCAAGGGCAGAGGACAAGGGGGAAGAAAAGGAGACUGGGGGGAAGGGAACAAGGGACCCAGCAAAGGUGGGCCUCCAGGGGGGCAGCAGGGUUAGGAGUUUGUGAGAAAGGUAAAUGCAAGGAGAAGGCAGGAGAUGAAAGAGAAGCAGAUCUCAGAUUCAGAAGUUAAAUACCCCACUCACCCCCUUCUUCCUGGGACUGCCAAGAUACUUUUGGUGACACUGACUUUUCUAACUCAUAGCUGGAAAUGAGGGGCUAUUACCUGUCCUGAUAAAUACCCAACUCAGGGAGCGGGGACAUGUCCCUCCCCAGAGUUCAGGCUCUUCUCCCUGUAUCGCCAGCUCCCACCUUGGAGGCUGCGCAUAGCAGGGGAGGGCUGCACCGGCAUCGGCCCUUCGAGGACCACCAGACCCAUAGCAAGGAGCUAAAGCUGUUUGGUCUUCCAAAGAUGAGGUGGUUUAAAGAAACCCUUAAACCGGGGGGGUGGGGGUGGGACAGGGAGCAGGGAGUGAC
This 8400-nucleotide long non-coding RNA is filed under the name Homo sapiens (human). RNAcentral describes it as "HSALNT0208279". The record is from RNAcentral. Lineage: Eukaryota; Metazoa; Chordata; Mammalia; Primates; Hominidae.